This is a long non-coding RNA of Glycine soja, 968 nucleotides long. RefSeq lists it as uncharacterized. Lineage: Eukaryota; Viridiplantae; Streptophyta; Magnoliopsida; Fabales; Fabaceae. The transcript has 3 exons. The record is from RefSeq and is a predicted model, not a curated record.
GUUUUUUAGUGAUUCAAAAGAACCACAACACAAACACUCUCAUUUUACUCUCUUCUUCCUCUCUAAGGCAACCCAUCAUUAAAGAGUGUGCGAUCUUGAAACCCUAGCACAUAGUACCUUAUUGUUGAGCUUCUUUUUCUAAUUUUGACUGAUUUCAAAGAACUACUAUAGAAGCAAGGGAAAGCUUGCAUCUUGGACUCCAGGCACAUAAGUUAAAGGUGCUAAGAAGAUCCUCAACCUAAUGUUGGAGGUUAUUUAUGGUGGCUAAUUGUGAAAGGUCCUAUAGAAUGGAUGAUUGGGUGAAUCCCUAAAUAGGUUAAGGUUGUUGCAAGCCUUACCGAGGUAAGCCACUACCCAUGCUCAUCCAUUUUCGCUAAAAUCACACUUCCUUUGUAGGGUUCAUUUGAGUUUCUUCGAAUGAUCAAAGUUUGACUAUGUUAAAGGAUGUACUUGGGUUAAUUACUCAAGAUGAAAUAUUUUGAGACUAAAAAGUCAGCACGACAUAACAUGAUAGUUAGACAUAUACAUUGAUAAUUGUCACAUGAGAAUGAUGUGUUAUUUGAUGAGUCGUAUUAGUAUAUGGCUAUCGAAAAAGUGAAGGAUUUAUAUAUCUCUUUUAACAUGACGAUCUUAUAUUAUUUCAAUUAUGUGAUGUUUUCUUUUAAAAUGAACUUAUCCUUGCGUUUUCUGUUAAACUGCGAUGAUUGUAUCUUUGACAUGGGAGUAGAUUACCUUUAGUGAUACGAACAGAGGACAAUGGUGAGCUUUGUUUCGAGGACAGUGGACCUCCUUACUACACUAAAUCACUUUGAUCAAAUUCAUUCUAGUGUUUUAUUCAUAUAUUUGUGUAUUUAUAAGGAUAAUGGGCUGCAUCAUAACUAAAUUGAUUCUCCACUAUAACAACUUUUACAUUCCACUACUAACAACCUAUAACAACAUUUGGCAUUUUCCUAAGACAUACUACUACU